GCAGCGACGUCCGAGUGGUUAAGGCGUUAGACUUAAGUUCCAAUAAACAGACGUCCGCGUGGGUUCAAACCCCACUUGCUACA
This 83-nucleotide transfer RNA is filed under the name Enterobius vermicularis (human pinworm). It matches the Rfam family "tRNA". From Rfam's summary of the family: Transfer RNA (tRNA) molecules are approximately 80 nucleotides in length. Their secondary structure includes four short double-helical elements and three loops (D, anti-codon, and T loops). The record is from Rfam by way of RNAcentral. Lineage: Eukaryota; Metazoa; Nematoda; Chromadorea; Rhabditida; Oxyuridae.